CCCAAUUCAUAUUGUUCAGGUGCCUUAAAAAGCCUAACAGGGAAUCCCGUGAAAUUCGGGAACGAGCCCGUCGCUGUAACCGGGGACGAAAAGAGCAUAUACGUCACUGAUCCAUUGCUUUUGGGAUUGGGAAGACGCUCUUGAGUAGGAUGAUCCGGAAGUCAGAAGACCUGCCUGAACAAGAGCCUAUUA
This 192-nucleotide non-coding RNA is filed under the name Desulfamplus magnetovallimortis. The record is from RNAcentral. Lineage: Bacteria; Pseudomonadati; Thermodesulfobacteriota; Desulfobacteria; Desulfobacterales; Desulfobacteraceae.